CCGGCUUUCCCACCGCCGCCUCCGCGCGCCGCGAGCCCACCCCACGGGGCCCGCGUGUCCCCGCGGCCACUGGGGCAGCCGGCUGUGCGCAGGGAAAGCCGAGGCCCUGGAGGCCAGGCUGAUGGAGGCUGGCGUCUGCAUCCCUGGGGUCUGGAGCCCAGUCCCUCCGGAACUUGGGACCCGAUUUGGCGGCAGAAGCUGGGAAUUUUCAAGUCUAGCCUGGGAUUUCAGGCUGCAGUGCGUGGGGCACCCCCACAGGCCGAAGGAGACUCUCUGAGCUUCAGAAACGCGAGUCCCAGCUUCAUGGCUGCCCCUGGAGCGGAUGGAGCACCCUGGACAGAGCCAAGGGGAUGCCAACCCCAGCCCCAUGAGACCUGGAGGCACCAGGCCCAAACCCCAACGGCCAGUGGGCUGUGGGCCGCCAACCUGGGUGCCAUGCCUGGGCUCUCGCACAUGCUUAACUUUGGGGUUGAGGCUGCUGCGGGUGUCCUGCCUGGUCCCAAGUCCCAGGCCCCAGGUGGAGCCUUACCCUAGCCAGACAAGCAAAGGGGUCUUGAGGAUGGAGCAGCCUCUAGGAGGUGACUGUCCUCGUCACCCUCACCUCAGCUCUGAGAGCAGAAUCACUGUCCCCCUCUAUACCCGGGGAGCAAGAGCUGACCCUGGAAUUCAGAGCAGCUUCUGGGAGAAGGGUGCAGACUCCCUGAAUCAUACCCAUCAGUAGCAGGCCUGUGACCUGCAGCAACUACUACGCCAGACGGAGCUAAGGUGGACCUUGGAAAAUGGCGCACUGUGGUUAUGGGAGUUCUCACUGAGGCCCUUCCCUGCUUAGCCCUCAAAGCUGGCUCCUCACCCUCAA
This 856-nucleotide long non-coding RNA is filed under the name Marmota monax (woodchuck). Lineage: Eukaryota; Metazoa; Chordata; Mammalia; Rodentia; Sciuridae. The record is from RNAcentral.